This 5175-nucleotide long non-coding RNA is filed under the name Homo sapiens (human). RNAcentral's name for it is "HSALNT0045257". Lineage: Eukaryota; Metazoa; Chordata; Mammalia; Primates; Hominidae. The record is from RNAcentral.
GCUUUUUCUCAUUCCAUCUUAAAAUGAGGUCCCAGAGGGAAGGCAGCAUUCCCCACAAGGCCAAUAGGAAGAGCGGGGGCCAUCCUGGAUAUGCAUGCUCAACCACCAGGUGGGGAGUGAGAGAGAGAAGAACUUCUGUGGUAAAACCUUUACAGGGGUCCAAGGUGAGAUACAAGAAGGCUUCCCGUGGUGAGUUCUAAUUGAAUUUUCUCAUUCACACUGCUAUGAGUGAUUCCACUAAUAGAACAGCAUCUCAUACAUUCAGUCCUGGAAUACUAGAGCAAAGCCUCCACUGAACUUCUACUGAGACUUGGUGCAGUACUACAUUUUGUUGCUGGCAGAAACUACCUUGUGUCAUUCUGAUUUGCUAUGACUCCAGAUGCUGAUCAGAUAUAGAGCUUGUAUAGAGCUAUUACUCUUUAAUUUCGUUUUCCUCUAAAGAACUACCUGAGACUGAGUAAUUUAUAAAUCAAGGAGGUUUAAUUGACUCAGAGUUGUGCAUGGCUGGGAAGGCCUCAGGAAACUUGCAAUUAUGGUGGAAGGCAGAGAGGAAGCAGUAAGGCACAUCUUACAUGGCAGCAGGAUGCGGGGAGUGCUACAACUUGAGAGCACCAGAUCUCGUGAGAACUCACUAUUACAAGAACAGCAUGGGGAAAACUGCCGCCAUGAUUCAGUCACCUCCCACUGAUGGCAGUGGCAGCCGUCUGGAGUGGCCUCUGUGAUGACGACACUUGCAGGAGGCAAGGUACUGCUGCGGCUGCUUGCUCUGUGCAUCUGGCAAGAGUUCCGAAGAGGUGAGAGCCCUACCCCCUACCGAGUUGACAGGCGGGAGCCCCACGUUUCUUCAUGCAACAGCAGGGACUCAGCUGUGGUCCCGGAACCUGGGUAUCUCUGUGCUCUUGGGGACCUGGUCCACCCAUGGCUGCCCAUAGACCAAUCAGCAUGCACUUUCUCCUUUCUGAGCCCAUAACAUCCCCGGACUCAGCCAGACUCACCAUCUGCGGGAAGGAGCUCCCCACUUUGGGUCUCCUCAGUUCUUCCAGAUGAGUGUCCUGCAGAAAGGAGAUACCCACUCUAGGUCUCCUCACUGCAGAGACCUGGAUACUUAACAGGACGACCUGACUGUGGAAAGGAGUUACCCACUUUGGGUCUCCUGAGAGCUGUUCUGUCCCUCACCGAAGCUCCUCUGUGCCUUGCUCACCCUCCAGUUGUCUGCGUACCUCAUUCCUCAUUGAUGUGGAACAAGAACUUGGGACAGGAUGAAUGGUGGGAUUGAAAGAGUGGUAAACAAGCAGGGCUGAAACACACCACUCUGCUUGCCAUGUUGUGGAUGACAAGAAGGAGAGAAUAGCUGCAGCCCUUCGGGAGGCCAGGCACAGGGACUCCCCAAGCCAGGGUUGUGACACCCUCUUUGGGCUCUGCAAUUACUUGUGUCUCCAAGCUUCUAGGUUCCACUACGUUCCCCUAGUCCAGAUGCGAGUGCCCACAGUGAAAGCCGCAUGCAGUACAUCUGGUCCAGCCACAGCCUUGCAUGGAGCUGGCAUCUGUGCUGGGGCCUGUAGCUGCCCGCCCCACCACAGCAACCAGUGUGCCUGGCUGUGCAUAGUGGCUGAACCCGCGCUUACUCAUGCACACUUCCCUCACUGCUCCAUGCCUGACUCGCUGUUGGCAGGCGUGGGAGCUGGGCCAACAGUGUGAGCCAAGUGCAGCCUGCUGAGUCGAGUGGGCAGGAAAAUCCCAGUGAGCGUGAGCAAUAUUCAGGCAGAAGGCACUGCCAGCCACAGAGGUUUCUGGCUGGUGAAAUAACACCCCAAGGAGCCCAUGACAUCACCAGGUCUCUCUCUCAAUAUGUGGAGAUUACAAUUUGAGAUGAGAUUUGGGUGGGGACGCAGAGCCAAACCAUAUCAUUCCUAUUAUUAUUUUAUAUUAAACUUUUGAAGCUUACUUUACUAUUUAGGUAGCAAUGCAUUUAGUGAGACUGUUCAAAUCAUUUGAUGAUAAUUGAUAAAAUAUCUUUGGAAUUGUGUGCCUUCUCAUUUCCAGAAAGUAUUGGAAGUUUUUACUUGUACCAUGGAUAGCUACAUCUUGUUACACGGAAACGGAGUGGUUUCAUUUUUGUUUGGAAGCUUUAAUGUAUAAAAAUCUUUAUAUGAAAGUGGAGUAAGCAAACGGGUAUAUUGGUCUAUCAAUUUAUUACUUGCAGUACCAAAUCUACUUCCCUUUUUCCUACUUUGUGAGAUCAGAGCUAAACUCUUAAUAUUUUUCCUUUGCCACUUGGUACAAGUAGACUUUGUCAGUAGAGGAGGCCAGCGGGACACUGAAGCUCAAAGCAAUGUAUGCUCCUGGUUGCUUUAUUUCCUCCUAUGUUAUGGGUACAAGGUGGAGGACCAGUGGUGCUCAGGUUUCAGUGCAUCUACAGAAUACCACUUCCUGUGAAUCAGCUCGAGCACACUAGUACUUUCAAGUGAUCUUCUUGGUCACAUAGUGUACAGUUUCCAUAUACAAAUAUGGCUCACCUGAAUCUUUUAACAAGUUUAUCAGCCAUACAGUGGCCACGCUUGCAAACUAGCUCCAAUCUGCGCAUUGUGAGAAAUUUUUUUGCUAUAGGUAUGCUGCUGGCUCAGGUGGUAGCCCCACUGUCUCCAAUAAUGUCUGCUUCUCAGCCUGGGAAGAGUGUGCUGUUAUAUAUUCUCAGUUUCUUCAAUGUUUUCUCUUGCUCACCCCUAGAAAUAAAAGCAAAUUUCUACAUUUCUAUUUCUUUGUUCCUUGGAUGUCUCAUUCCCCUUUUUUAGUAGCUAAUCAUCUUUUACUAGUUAGUAAUUAUUUAUAAUAAAAACUUUUUUUGAUCACUGAUAUGCUUUCUGUCUCUUGACUAGACCCUAACUGAUAUACCUACAUUGAAAUAAGUUGUAGGUUGCAUAAAAUUUGUUGAACAUUUCUGCUUCAACACAAAUUAAGAUGAGCACAGUUGAACACAAUAAUUAUUUUACAAAAGUAUUAUAUCAUCAUCAUAACAAUUAUAGAGGGACAUUAAAUAUCCUGCAGAAUCAAGUACUGACAUAAUAUUUUAUUUGUAGCUUUAAAAAAGGUAAUAUUUAAAAAAAACUUAUUUGCUGAAUGUUUACUCAUGGUUAACAUCUUUCUUGGUCAAAAUUGAGGCACUGAUUAUUAUUCUCUACCAAAUAAUUGUUUCAUAUAACUGUGAUACAGAUAACAAAACAUGUUGACUUUUAUCUCACAUUCUCUGUUAAUUAUUAUUUGCUUUUCCCCCAUUUUUGAGUAGUAAAUACUAAGUAAAGUGAAUAAAAAAAUUGACUCCAGAUUCAAUACAUAAUAUCAGUACAAAUAGCAAAGGUAUUUGUCUGUAGGGUCACCCAUCACCAAAAUGAUUCAAUCAAAGUUAUAUAUUUACUAUGCAGUCUAGUUAAGAUUGAAAUUAGAAAAGGAGUUAUUAUUUCUACACAAAUACUUAUUUUGUGAUUUGUCAAAAAUUACCACAUUCUUUGGAUAACAAAACAGUAAACAGUGCAAAGGAAUUGCUGUUGUUGUUGUUCUGUUGUCAUAGCAUUGAGAUUUUUGAUAUGAGCAUAAAGCUUCUCACACCAACAUUAAUCUCUUGAGUUAUAUACAUUAGUAUAUAUUUUGCUUGUGAGCAGUGAUCAUGUUUCUUUAGCCUUAUUUAUUUGCUGCUUUGCCAUGUAUAUAUAUAUGGAUGGGCAACAUUUGUCAUUGCCUCCCUUAAAAUAGAUUCUGUUUCAAAAGCUUUAACAUGGACUACAUUAAAGUCUGAUCAAGGUAUGCUGAGACAAAUCUGUGGAUUUGGUUCUGUGUUGUAUUGAUGUUUGUUUUCUAUGGCUGUUUAUUUUCCAGUCAUGUAGAAAGAUUCCUAAGAGAAUAUAUUCCAGAUUGACUUUUUAUGGGUCUUUAGUAGAAUCUAGAAUGCUAUUUCAGGAGAUCUUGUGGUUCAUCUGCAGAAACAUAUCACCUAAUUGAAGAGCCCCACUCCUUCUCCAAUCAUGGACAUCUGCAAGUUUAAGAUGGUGACCAAAGUCCUGCACAAAAUCUUAAGUAUGGUCCUAGAAACUCAGAACCUCUAAGCUUGCUAGUCUCUGAACCUAGAAAUAUCCAUGAUCAAGUUAAUAGAAGAUGGCACAUUCUAGACAAAAAUUUUGUGGAACUUUUAAUAAUACGAUCAUGCCUGCUAGUAACAAAAGUUAAAAAAAAAUUAUCAACAAUAUAACACAUUGUGUGAUUUAAAACAGAAGUUAGAUUAAAGCAUAUAUUAAAAUUCAAGCUAUAUUCCCUUCUCACCCUUAUACUGUGGUGAGAAUUGUGCAAAUAGACUUCUACCUGUCCUUUGAUAUUGAAGAAAAUGAAAUAAUGCCACCCUCCCCCCAAAUAAAUGUUUUUGUUUUGUUUUGUUUUGUUUUUUUGACGGAGUCUCUGUCACCCAGGCUGGAGUGCAGUGGCAUGAUCUUUGCUCACUGCAACCUCCACCUCUGAGGUUCAAGCAAUUCUCCUGCCUCAGCCUCCCGAGUAGCUGAGACUACAGGCGUACACCACCACACCGGCUAAUUUUUUGUAUUUUUAGUAGAGACGGGGUUUCACCAUGUUAGGAUUAUCUCGAUCUCCUGACCUCAUGAUCCGCCCAUCUUGGCCUCCUAAAGUGCUGAGAUUACAGGCAUGAGCCACGGUUCCUGGCCCAAAUAAAGCUUUUGAAAGAAAAGUUAUAGCAUUCACAUGAGAGGGUUUUUUUUUUGAAAAAUUGUAUGCCAAAUGUAAGGUUUAUUCCAUGGUGUAAUUUGUAGAUAAUCUAUAUAGUACUAACAAUAUAAUUGUACUUUUUUUAACUAUAGUUCCUCUUUUGUUUUGUAAAUUCAUUAUAAAUUGUUUAUCAAUUAUACUGUCAUCAUUAAAGAAUGAGAAAGAAAACUCUCAAGAGCAUUUUUAAUUGUAAUGAUUUGAUUAAACAAGAAGUGCUGUAAAGAAGGUAAUGAAUCAAGCCUAAACAGCAAAAUGGAGUAACUCUUCCAGGAUUUAUAUAAAAGUAUUUAUAGAUAUAUUAUGGUGUGCUUUGUAAUUUAUGAAAGUAAAUUAUAAUAACACUUCAAUCGAUUUGUAAAAACAUAAACAACAAAAGUAAAAUAUGUUUUUUCUUUUUUCUUUUUUUUCUUU